Molecule: ribosomal RNA, 253 nt
Filed under: uncultured bacterium
Lineage: Bacteria
Description: partial 16S ribosomal RNA
Rfam family: Bacterial small subunit ribosomal RNA
Source: RNAcentral
UACGAAGGGGGCUAGCGUUGCUCGGAAUUACUGGGCGUAAAGGGCGCGUAGGCGGAUAGUUUAGUCAGAGGUGAAAGCCCAGGGCUCAACCUUGGAAUUGCCUUUGAUACUGGCUAUCUUGAGUUCGGGAGAGGUGAGUGGAAUGCCGAGUGUAGAGGUGAAAUUCGUAGAUAUUCGGCGGAACACCAGUGGCGAAGGCGACUCACUGGCCCGGUACUGACGCUGAGGUGCGAAAGCGUGGGGAGCAAACAGG